UCACUUUCACAACGGAUCUCUUGGCUCUCGCAUCGAUGAAGAACGUAGCGAAGUGCGAUAGUAUGUGAAUGCAAUCUGAAUCAUCGACUUGAA
RNAcentral lists this ribosomal RNA (93 nucleotides) under uncultured Glomus. RNAcentral describes it as "partial 5.8S ribosomal RNA". It matches the Rfam family "5.8S ribosomal RNA", at positions 1 to 104 of the family's 154-position model. From Rfam's summary of the family: 5.8S ribosomal RNA (5.8S rRNA) is a component of the large subunit of the eukaryotic ribosome. The record is from RNAcentral. Lineage: Eukaryota; Fungi; Glomeromycota; Glomeromycetes; Glomerales; Glomeraceae.